RNAcentral lists this ribosomal RNA (253 nucleotides) under uncultured bacterium. Its description in RNAcentral is "partial 16S ribosomal RNA". It matches the Rfam family "Bacterial small subunit ribosomal RNA", at positions 524 to 776 of the family's 1533-position model. The record is from RNAcentral.
UACAGAGGGGGCAAGCGUUAUUCGGAAUUACUGGGCGUAAAGGGCGCGUAGGCGGCCUGUUAAGUCAGGGGUGAAAGCCCAAGGCUCAACCUUGGAAUUGCCUUUGAUACUGAGGGCCUUGAGACCGGAAGAGGUCGGCGGAACUGCGAGUGUAGAGGUGAAAUUCGUAGAUAUUCGCAAGAACACCAGUGGCGAAGGCGGCCGACUGGUCCGGUUCUGACGCUGAGGAGCGAAAGCGUGGGGAGCGAACAGG